This 73-nucleotide transfer RNA is filed under the name Camellia bambusifolia. RNAcentral's name for it is "tRNA-Thr". Lineage: Eukaryota; Viridiplantae; Streptophyta; Magnoliopsida; Ericales; Theaceae. The record is from RNAcentral.
GUAGACAGUCAAGUGAAAUCUAAUCCACGAAAUAAUUUGAUCUAUGGACAGCAUCGUUGUGGUAAAGGUCGUA